AGAAAUAUGUCUGACAAAAGAGUUACUUUGAUAGAGUAAAACAUAGGAGUUUAAAUCCCCUUAUUUCUA
RNAcentral lists this transfer RNA (69 nucleotides) under Grammomys macmillani (Macmillan's thicket rat). RNAcentral describes it as "tRNA-Ile". It matches the Rfam family "tRNA". From Rfam's summary of the family: Transfer RNA (tRNA) molecules are approximately 80 nucleotides in length. Their secondary structure includes four short double-helical elements and three loops (D, anti-codon, and T loops). The record is from RNAcentral. Lineage: Eukaryota; Metazoa; Chordata; Mammalia; Rodentia; Muridae.